AUUUUAUAAAAUUCCCUCCCUCCUCCCUCCGAAAUCCCCAACUUUCCCCCCUAAAAUUCCUUAUUUCCCACAUCAAAGAAAGAAACCCAGAAGCUUAUUCAACUCUAGGGAAAAUCAAAAUCAAAGAACCCAAAACCAGGAAACUAAGGAAACGAUGAGAAAAAGAGAAAAAAGGAUUGGACAUUGAAAGUUACCGAGUGGGAGGGUUGUCAAGGGCAUGAAACUUGCAUUAUUUUUCCCACUCUUAACCUAGCAUUUGAUAUCGGUCGAUGCCCACAACGUGCCCUUUCUCAAGAUUUUCUUUUUAUUUACUCAAUCCAACUCCAUUAAUUCCAAUUUUGCAGUGAAAAGGAAAGGAAGAUUUAGUUUUCAAGGAAAAAAGUGUGGAUUCGGUGCAGUUCAGUAGACUGUGAGUAUGAAACCUGCUUGGGAGACUUGUACAGUGUUGCUUGGAUGGAGGACGGUGACAUACAUAAUCUGCGGAAGGAGACUUUGCACCAGCAAUAUGAAAUUGAAUUAGCAUGGACAAUCUCUUCACAUGUUUGGGUACCAAUCCUGCUAACGAUAACUUCAAAUUCGUCGAUGGGAACUCAUUGUUGCCACCCACCAAAGCUGUUAAUCAACGCUAUGAUGAUCUUGUCCAUUUCCGGGAUAAGUAUCGCAAGGCACCUGAUGUCUUGGUUAGGAAGGUUGAAGCUCAAAAGCAGUAUCGAUAUACUGUCUUUGUUUGUGGCUGUCCUAAGGCAUACCACCCAGCCUGUAUCAAAAGGGAUGAGGCAUUCUUUAAAUCCAAGGCAAAAUGGAACUGCGACAUACACGGAUAAAGAAGGUAUCAGGCAGCAGCAGUUGUUGGCAUUUAUCCCAAGACAUCACAAGCACUACAUUUUACCGAAUUCUGUCAGCAGGAAGGUGCAUUUUAGUCCACCGUUACAGACAGAUCCUAGGGAAAAUUAUCUCCAUGCUAAAUCUUGUCUUCAGCCUUCAGGCUUGCUGAGAACAUCCAAGAUGCUUAUGGUGAGGCAGCUAGCAUUGCUGAACAGUCACAUUAUUUAACACCAAAACCCAUAUUUUACGGGUUUUCAAAGAAGAAAAUGCUGAGAAUAGAUGGUCUCUAUAAAAAGAUGGGCUACAAGGACACCAAGUUACUGAUGCUUUACGGGCUCUGAUAGCCAAUGGCGUUGAAGCGGGGACUAUCCAGUGUGGGCGUCCAAAGGAACAGAAGUUUUGGAUCUCGUUUGCGUAUCGUGAUUCUUUUUUUCUUCUCAAUUCUGAUGCUCAUUGCUUUGAGUUCAUUACAAGAUUUCCUUGAUUAAAUAAAUGUAUUAUAUCUUUUAUUACCAAGAUUUACUUGAUUAAGAAAAUGCAUUGUAUGUUUUAUUACCUUGCAUAUGUAUUAUUUAUUUUAGUUUUGAUUCUAAAUUUUUAUUUUUA
Molecule: RNA transcript, 1431 nt
Organism: Gossypium raimondii (Peruvian cotton)
Lineage: Eukaryota; Viridiplantae; Streptophyta; Magnoliopsida; Malvales; Malvaceae
Exons: 11
Source: RefSeq, a predicted model, not a curated record